Molecule: long non-coding RNA, 1412 nt
Organism: Chinchilla lanigera (long-tailed chinchilla)
Lineage: Eukaryota; Metazoa; Chordata; Mammalia; Rodentia; Chinchillidae
Exons: 5
Source: RefSeq, a predicted model, not a curated record
UGUAAGUAAACUGAAGAAACACCGAGAGGGAGAGGACAAAUGUGCUUCCGAAAGGCCAAAGUCAAUUGUAAGCUGAGAUCCCACGGACCGGCAGGGUGUGAAUUACUGGAAUGAGAGGAAAAGGAGCUGAGGGUAGGGGUGCCUUUUGAAGACCACCUUACCCAGAGCUGCGGGCCAUGUUAGGCGUUAGGAGAGCAUUAACUGAGACCCGGAAUUGAAUGUGGGGGGCCACACUCCUUUCGUUACUCUUUCUGUUCUCAGCUAUGAAGCUGUACCCAGAUUGCUUCGGCUAAGAAGUUCCCAUCAUUUUCUUCCUCAACGAUUAGUAUGGUGUUGGGCAGGUAAGCAAACCGGAGUCAGUGAGGUGUUCGUCAGGCUUGUAAGGAACGGGAAGCAGCUUUUCCUUUAAUAGAAAGUGACAUCUACAGUUUGACAGCCAUUAGCAUUGCAGAGACAGCUAGAUGAGUCUGAGGCUCAAGACAGAAACGAGACCUGACCUCAGAGGACAGAAGCAAGAGCAUGGAAGAAACUUGCUGCUGGUGAUAUAAUUCGGUGACCUAAAGAUGUCUUCGCUCCUUUACACACAACAGUGUCAGGAAUUAUCAAAGGAUGCAUUAGAAGAGGUAACGUGAUAGAUAGAAACAUAGAUGGUGGGGAAAUGGAAGAGACAAAAAUCUCUGGGCGCUGGUGCCAAUGCAAGCCUGUGGUUUUGAGCCCUUCCUGCCUUGCAGCUAUGGACUUGAAUUCUGCACCCUCUGAGAAUGAUACUAACCAGAAGCGUUUCCCUAAAUGGAUUCUGCCCAAUGUGAACUCCCCGUUCACUCUGUGUUGCAGUCGGGAAGAACUGAACCGAGGACGGGUGGCGGGAAUCUCUGAAGCGGGAAGGUCUGCAAGCUGCGUGGGUGGGAGAUGCGGGCCCAGCCAGUGUCGUCUGCAGCACUCGCCUCGGCCCUGAGCCCAGGGCCUCAGCUCUUCUGCGAGGCCGCUGUUUUCUUGUUGCAUUUCGCGUGUCGGUGAUUAGGUGCUUCAGCAGUGCAUGGAUCUGUUUAAUUCUUCUGAUGAGAGUACAUUUCUAAAGUGCUAAAAAAGCUUCUCCGUCAAAUGAAAAAGCCGCCUUAACAAGCAAGGUCCCUCUCCCCGAGGUCUGCGCACUGAGAGCCCAUGCCGGCCUGUCUCUGCGCAUUCCCGACUCUGCAGCGUCACCGCUGUGCCUCACGUCUCUUACCCGUGCACGCUGUCGGGGGCUGGACAUGCACUUAGGGAAUACUGGCUAGGAUGAGGAGGACGCUUUCCCGGAAAUGCCGAGAUGACUUCCUGGGAAAGGGAUGGUGACAUACAUGCUGGGAAUAGAGGAAAAAUGUCAGGAAGAGGGAAUAAAAAAUAAAAGGAUGAAGAAAGAAACUUUAAAAUGC